CUCUGUGACUGGCUUGCUUGAUAGUUAGGGUCUGAUUGCUGCCUGAGACACCAUAUCGGUACUCCUCAGAGUUGGUGAUCACAGGAUCUGGUUUGCCACUGAAAGGAAUCUUGAUGCUGACCACUUCACCUCGGAGAGCAUGAACUGCUCCCAUGCCUUCAAGAGUUUUAGGAUGGCAUCAACUGUUCCAAAAACAUUGCUGAGCUGGACUUUGUAUUUCCCAGCAUGAGUCUUACGUUGGACAUUCUUCAUGACAAGAUGAGUAUAGUGCUCAGUGUUUUCAAUAGUAAUGUUUUCUGAGUUUUGCAAAAGUUUCUGACCAUGGAACCAAGUCAUGGCAGGUACUGGACGACCAAUGUACAUAACAUGAAGCCGAAGUGUGGAACCCACAGCUCCAUAAUAUUUCUCUUUCAGUGGGUAACCAGGAUGGAACUGUGGUGUUGCUUGCAGGAGAAGCUUACUACUGGUUUCUACUUCUCCAACCUCAUUGGUGGCUAUGCAGGCACUGUCUCCAGACUGUCUAUAUUCAACCCAGUAUCCAAGAAUUUCUUUGCCACCAUCACAUUCAGGUUUCUCCCACUGUAGAGUGACACUAUCUUUGGAUAUUGAAAGAAUCUCAAGUUCUCCUGGUUGGCUUGGUUUAUCUGAAAUAUUUUAAAAUAAUGAAAAGGGAAUCAGCUUUACUGGUGAAAUAAAAGGACCAAACAUGGCUUGCUUCUUUAA
Molecule: non-coding RNA, 723 nt
Filed under: Pongo abelii (Sumatran orangutan)
Lineage: Eukaryota; Metazoa; Chordata; Mammalia; Primates; Hominidae
Source: RNAcentral